Oncorhynchus tshawytscha (Chinook salmon) is the source of this 5457-nucleotide long non-coding RNA. Lineage: Eukaryota; Metazoa; Chordata; Actinopteri; Salmoniformes; Salmonidae. The record is from Ensembl.
UCUCCUCAUCACCUUAUCCUCUCUCCUCCUCUCCUCAUCACCUUCUCCUCUCUCCUCCUCUCCUCAUCACCUUCUCCUCUCUCCUCCUCUCCUCAUCACCUUCUCCUCUCUCCUCCUCUCCUCAUCGCCUUCUCCUCUCUCCUCCUCUCCUCAUCACCUUCUCCUCUCUCCUCCUCUCAUCAUCACCUUCUCCUCUCCUCAUCACCUCACCUUCUCCUCUCUCGUCCUCUCCUCAUCACCUUCUCCUCUCUCAUCCUCUCCUCAUCACCUUCUCCUCUCCUCAUCACCUCACCUUCUCCUCUCUUGUCCUCUCCUCAUCGCCUUCUCCUCUCUCGUCCUCUCCUCAUCACCUUCUCCUCUCUCCUCCUCUCCUCAUCACCUUCUCCUCUCUCGUCCUCUCCUCAUCACCUUCUCCUCUCUCCUCCUCUCCUCAUCACCUUCUCCUCUCUCCUCCUCUCAUCAUUGCCUUCUCCUCUCCUCCUCUCCUCAUCACCUUCUCCUCCUCAUCACAUUAUCCUCUCUGCUCCUCUCCUCAUCACCUUCUCCUCUCUCCUCAUCACCUUCUCCUCUCUCCUCCUCUCCUCUAUCGUCCUCUCCUCAUCACCUUCUCCUCUCUCGUCCUCUCCUCAUCACCUUCUCCUCUCGUCCUCUCCUCAUCAUCUUCUCCUCUCUCGUCCUCUCCUCAUCACCUUCUCCUCCUCUCCUCAUCACCUUCUCCUCUCCUCGUCACCUUCUCCUCUCCUCAUCACCUCACCUUCUCCUCUCUCGUCCUCUCCUCAUCACCUUCUCCUCUCUCCUUCUCUCAUCAUCGCCUUCUCCUCUCCUCCUCUCCUCAUCGCCUUCUCCAACUCAUCACCUUCUCCUCUCUGCUCCUCUCCUCAUCACCUUCUCCUCUCUCUCUCUCUCAUCACCUUCUCCUCUCUCCUCCUCACCUUCUCCUCUCUCCUCCUCUCCUCAUCACCUUCUCCUCUCUCCUCCCCUCCUCAUCACCUUCUCUUCUCCUUAUCACCUUCUCCUCUCCUCAUCACAAUCUCCUCUCCUCAUCACCUCACCUUCUCCUCUCUCUCAUCCUCUCCUCAUCACCUUCUCCUCUCUCGUCCUCUCCUCAUCACCUUCUCCCUCCUCCUCUCCUCAUCACCUUCUCCUCUCUCCUCCUCUCCUCAUCACCUUCUCCUCAUCACCUUCUCCUCUCUCCUCCUCUCAUCACCUUCUCCUCUCUCCUCAUCACCUUCUCCUCUCUCCUCAUCACCCUGUCCUCUCUCCUCCUCUCCUUCACCUCUCUCCUCAUCACCUUCUCCUCUCCUCAUCACCUUCUCCUCAUCACCUUCUCUUCUCUCCUCCUUUCAUCACCUUCUCCUCUCUCCUCAUCACCUUCUCCUCUCUCCUCCUCUCCUCAUCACCUUCUCCUCCUCUCCUCAUCAUCUUCUCCUCUCCUCAUCACCUUCUCCUCUCUCCUCCUCACCUUCUCCUCUCUCCUCCUCUCAUCACCUUCUCCUCUCAUCACCUUCUCCUCCUCUCAUCACCUUCUCCUCUCUCCUCAUCACCUUCUCCUCUCUCCUCCUCUCCUCAUCACCUUCUCCUCUCUCCUCCUCUCCUCAUCACCUUCUCCUCCUCUCCUCAUCACCUUCUCUCCUCCUCAUCUUCUCCUCCUCUCCUCAUCAUCUUCUCCUCCUCUCCUCAUCACCUUCUCCUCUCUCCUCCUCACCUUCUCCUCUCUCCUCCUCUCGUCACCUUCUCCUCCUCUCAUCACCUUCUCCUCCUCUCAUCACCUUCUCCUCUCUCCUCAUCAACUUCUCCUCUCUCCUCCUCUCCUCAUCACCUUCUCCUCUCUCCUCCUCUCCUCAUCACCUUCUCCUCUCUCCUCCUCUCCUCAUCACCUUCUCCUCCUCUCCUCAUCACCUUCUCCUCUCUCCUCCUCACCUUCUCCUCUCUCCUCCUCACCUUCUCCUCUCUCCUCCUCACCUUCUCCUCUCUCCUCCUCUCCUCAUUGCCCUCUCAUCUCUUCCCUAAUGCAGAUUAAAGUGAGCCAUGUACUCUAAUGCUCUAUUUGGGCCUAGGAGAUGGGAACCAAUAAAGAUUGAUAGAAGUGGAUAGAGAUAGUGAUAAAAGAGGAGGGGUGAGAAAGAGAGAGGGAGAGACAGGGAUUGAGGGUUAAGACAAGUGAGAAACUUUAGUGAUUGAGAGAGAGAGAGAGAGAGAGAGAGAGAGAGAGAGCUCGUGUAAUUGUAUGGUAAUAAGUUGUCAGGAGAACCUGUCAGGGUCGAGCUGGAGCCGCUCCGGAGCGACGAGGAGAUGGAGGAGAGGAAAGGAAGAAGGUAUUGGAGUCAGGAUCCCUCUGAGGAAAGUCCAAUCCAUGAUAGCGUUACCUGAUUGCCAAUUUGUGUCUGUCUUCAGACAUCACACACACAAAACACCCACACACAUGCACUGUAGUGGAAUGAUGGAGUUGAUUGGACAGGCUCUUGGUGCCUAACGAGGGGUCCAGGGCAAUCACAGACCAGUUGCUUUGUGACUGGAGGAGAAUGAAGGCCGCUAUAGCUUGUAUUCUCAUCAUUUCUCGAUGAAAAGGGAGCGCUACACUGAUUGUCUUCCCCCCUACUGUGCAUGCAGUUGAGCUGUUUGAAUCGGGCCUGCUGUUCAGAAAUGUAUACUGAAACAGAGAACUUUGAUCAAACUUCUGUGAUUGAGGCUGGAGUCCUAGGGACUCAUCUUUUUCUCUCUUUCUUCCUCUCUGACUCUUUUUCUCUUCACUCAAUCUCUUGUUUGUCCUGCAUCUCUUUUUCUCUCCUUGCAUGCACACACGCACACAUCGAUUGGAGAGUCGAUAUUGAGCAGUGGCUCUCGUCUAAAUUAAUAUUUGAUUUCUCUGGGGGUUUCAGACUGGAACCUUACAGUUACAGUCUGAGGGAUUGCUCUAAACGUUGUUUGAUUAAGUUUGUGUGUGUGUGUGUGUGUGUGUGUGUGUGCCUGCCUGCGAUACAACCCCCUACACACACAUUCAUGCACACAAUCAUACACACACAUCACUUGACUAGAAUGCAUCACUCACUGCAAAGCCUCUGCCAUUAAAGCUGUUAAUUUAUCAGACACACAUGGUGACUUAUUGAUUGAUGUGAGCACUAGGCCCAGAACUGUGUCUCUCAAACACUAGACCCAGAACUGUGUCUCUCAAACACUAGGCCCAGAACUGUAUCUCUCAAACACUAGGCCCAGAACUGUGUCUCUCAACCACUAGGCCCAGAACUGUGUCUCUCAAACACUAGGCCCAGAACUGUGUCUCUCAAACACUAGACCCAGAACUGUGUCUCUCAAACAUUAGACCCAGAACUGUGUCUCUCAAACACUAGGCCCAGAACUGUGUCUCUCAAAUCCUAGGCCCAGAACUGUAUCUCUCAAACACUAGGCCCAGAACUGUGUCUCUCAAAAACUAGACCCAGAACUGUCUCUCAAACAGAGUCCCCAGUUCUCUGCAGCGAUAUGGUGAAACCAAAAGCAUGCCUUGUGUACUGUAGAAUCAUUCUUGUUUCAAAAUCCAAUAGUGUUAUUCGUGUAUAGUAUAUGGGUGCAUUCUAGGGUUUAGGGUGGGAAGAAAAUCCUUAGUACUGCAGUCAUCCAUUGUAAUGUAAGGAUGAGAGACCCUGGUAUUGUGCUGUAACUCCAAACACAAGGUAUGUUUCUCUCUGUCAGUGUGUUUGUCGACUUUGUUCUGUUGUUUGUGAGAUCUGAUUGGCAUCAGCACAGCAGUGUGUGUGUGAGAGAGAGAGUGAGAGAGUGAGAGAGUGAGAGAGUGAGAGAGAGAGCGAGAGAGAGAGCGAGAGAGAGAGAGUGAGAGAGAGCGAGAGAGAGCGAGAGAGAGAGAGAGAGCAAGAGAGAGAGCGAGAGAGCGAGCGAGAGCGAGCGAGAGAGAGAGAGAGAGAGAGAGAGAGAGCACGUUGGGGUAAUCUGCUUCUGCAAGAGUCUGUUACAUUAUUCAUCCUCCUGGGGCUCUGCGGCAGGGAGGGAGCAGCGGAGAGGGGUGGAGGAAUAGAGGAAGAGAGAAACAGAGAGGGUAAAGGACUCAGACAGAGCAGCCAAACAUUUCCGCACUGAGAGAUACAGUAUCAGAUACAUUACUCCCAGAUUGAAGGGGGUUAUUCAUGAAACUUUACAGCCACAGUAAAACAGUCUUCUAAAACCCAGCUUAAAGAAUAUCGAAGUGACCUUCGUGGGAGGGAUCUCAGAUAUUUCAGACUCCAGAGUAUGUUGUUCAGAGCAGAUAUCUGUUCUAAACAGACAGGUUCUAGUUAACCUGAGCCUUGUAUUAAAUGUCCACCCGAAGGCCUGGGGCGAGGUAAAGAGACAGUGUGAGGAAAGGGCUGGGUAUCGAUCCUCAGAGACAGACUUUGGCCCUCGGAUCAGACAAUAUUGACAGGCUAUCACCCACACACCCAGCGAAGUCUGACACUGUCUGACACCCAUCAUUAACACACACACGUGCAUGCACACACACACGCCGGAGGGAGGGUUGUGUGUGUGUGAGGUGGAGGGCUGUGUGCUUGGGAUGCAGAGCACGUUCGAGGUCUGUGAAGUUCUCCUUGCAGCAAAGUCUCAUUAAAGAGGCUCGCCUUAACACAGCUAUCUACAGCCAGACCAGACCUGACCACACACACAGAGAGGGAAGGAGAUAGAGAGAGAUAGAGAGAAAUAGAGAGAGUGAAAGAGACACUGAGGAACUCAAGCACGCACACAAACACAUAUGAAAUACUAUAUAAAUCUUUCUCAGGACACUGUGGUAUAACACAGUGUUUGAGUGGGAGGGAAUGGGUUUGUUAGAAGAAAAAAAAGAAUGUUCGCUCCCAUGGUGAUUUAAUCAGACACACAAAAAAAGACCUGACGAAGAUCCAACUCGGCUCGAAACCUUGUCUUUUCUUGCGUCAGAUCAAAUCCCCAUGGGAGCACACCACAGUUGCAGACAUUGCUUUUUUCUUUGAUCUGUCCUGCACCUGAUAAGUUGUAUGGGUGGGAUUUGACCCCUCCCUGAAGACUCCCUGAUCUUCCCUUUUUCCAUGUCCCUCUCUACAUCAACAGUGUUUAAACUAUGUUCUCCCAAAACUAUUCCCCUCCUACAGUAAUAUGAUAUUCAUGUAUAUUUGAUUGUGUCAUCUCUGUGGAGACUGCCUAUGGUGUGUCUGUGUGCCUUCUAAAUCUGUGUUUAUGAAUAAGUAAUAGAUUGCUAUGCACUGUGAUUAUUAAAGAACCCAAACUGCCAGGAAGCCAUGAUGAAAUUAUAUUGUAAUUCCUGCAUCUCUGAUGAAUACAUUUAUAUUUUUAUUUCUUGCAAUUUCUUUCCUGUUUCUGUUCCGGUAAAUGAGCGCUAAAGCUCUCUUGUUUUGCACUGAGACUCCCUGACGUUUACAUUUGUAUGGUUUUCACAACUGCGCUGAGAGUUUUUUAAUAAAACCGUCCUGUUUGUAAAUA